This is a long non-coding RNA of Homo sapiens (human), 1860 nucleotides long. NCBI's taxonomy places the organism in Eukaryota, Metazoa, Chordata, Mammalia, Primates, Hominidae. The record is from Ensembl.
GCUGCUGAAGAAGGAGAGUCGCAUUCAGCCAGGGAUCACUGAGCAUUCAAAAGUCCAUCUGAGACCUGCUUUCAUUGCACUGCCUCGUGAGGAGCUGUAGGAGAAGAUAUCAUAACUAUUCCCCACUUCUAAUUGUUAGAAGCAACAGCUGUCUAUCAAGAACAAUCUGAGGAUUGUGCACAAAUUGAUUUGGUUCUAUCAAGUGCUGGCUUUCGAUUCCAGUCUGACUUCACUACCACAGGAGCUUCUUGCUCAGGCUUCUGUUCCGGCUCCAUUCUCUCCCUGCCAUUAUAAUGCCAUCCACUGCAGCACCAUCUCUUCAAUCAGUGAGUUCAUCCUUUCCUCCCUCACUUCUAUUUUCUUGAGAGGAAAUAAGCAUUUUUUUUUCUUUUUUUAGGCAGAGUCUCGCUCUGUUGCUCAGGCUGGAGUGCAGUGGUGUGAUCUCAGCUCACUGCAACCUCUACCUCCCAGAUUCAAGCGAUUUUCCUGCCUUAGCCUCCCAAGUAGCUGGGACUGCGGGCAUGCACCGCUAUGACUGGCUAAUUUUUGUAUUUUCAGUAGAGAUGGAGUUUCACCAUGCUGGCCAGGCUGGUCUCGAACUCCUGACCUCAGAUGAUUCACCCGCCUUGGCAUCCCAAAGUGCUGGGAUUACAGGUGUGAGCCACUGUACCUGGCUGGAAAUAAGCAUUUAAUACUUAUGUGUGAUGCCCAGCAGAUGCCAACAGUAUUCAUGGAGAGUCCCAUUCCCAAGCUCUACAAAGUAGGGGUGAGGUAGAGCUAACCAUCCUGUUUCACAGAGAAGCAGAGGGAUUCACAGCUGUUCUCUGCCAGCCCUCAUGUCUCACGAUUCUGUGAAGUGACAGUUUCCAUGGGCUCAGAGUAGUUGUUGCGAAGCUUUCUAGAGUCCUCUGACCCUGGAAGCUGCUAAUUAAAGUGCCACCAAGAUGCUUCCAGCGACUCUGAGCUAGUUACACGUACAUAUUAAAGAGCUGACCUUCCCCCUUCUUGUCUGUCGUACCCCACUGUGAGUGCUGUGGGUGGUCAGCAAAUAAUAACAGUUAAUAACUUUCUCUUAUUCUUUCAAAGCUCUUCAGAAAUGCAAAUUGCUGCCUUCAGAAGGAAGCACACGGGCCUAUGAAUUUUAUAUCAGCAGGGAUUACCAAUGAGUCAUGCUUGAUGUUGUAAAAACUAUUCAGGUAGGCAGGCAGGUGCUGCAAUAAGAGAAUAGCAUCCCUUUCCUGAAUGUUCAGUUAUUGAAGUGCACGCUCGCAUGGGUAUACACACAACCACACAUGCCCAACUCACAAAAAUAGACAAUUAUAUAAAAUAUAUGCCAAAAUCUCCACAGAAAGGAAAGCUAAACUCUUUAAAACCAAAUGCUUAUCACGCUGCCGAAGAGAAGUAAAUCUGUAAGGUGGUAAGCAGUGUUAAUAUGUGGGCGAGUGCCAGAACACAUGCAGAUGUGUGUUAUUUAUGCCUUUAAUUGUUAUUUCCAGUAGGUAUCUGGCUGUCAGUGCACAUGAGUUAAGUACCGUAAAAUAACAGAUGUCACACAUCUCACAAGAACAACAGGGAGUCAAUAUACGCGGCAGAGUAAAUCUGAUUACCUUAGAUAGUAAGGAAAAGAGAAAGAAUGCAAAACCAGAUGAGCCUAUGGCUGUAAUUUAAAAAACAAAUUAUUCCAUUUGAAUAUGUUCUAUAGUAAUUAUGCAUUUAUACUGAGUACACUAAGAGAAAAGCCAUCUUGGAAGAACAGAGCCGAUUUGGGUAAUUGCAGUGAAUUCUUAUAAUUUUAUGUUGUCUUGGCAUCCAUUUUGAAUACAAAUUUAAGUUUGUUAUACCAGAAGCGGAGCUCGAUCA